UGCUGACUCUCUUUUCGGACUCAGCCCGCCUGCACCCAGGUGAAAUAGCCUUGUUGCUCACACAAAGCCUGUUUGGUGGUCUCUUCACAUGGACACAAGAGACAUUUAGUGCCGAAGACCCAGGUCAGAGGGACUCCUUCAGGAGACCAGUCCCCUGUCCUCACCCUCACUCCGUGAAGAGAUCCACCUACAACCUUGGGUCCUCAGACCAGCCAGCCUAAGGAACAUCUCACCAAUUUCAAAUUGUGACCCCACUGGAAACUGGACUAUCCAACUGGUCCAAGGCUCUGACUGAUGGCUUCCCAGAUCUUCUUGGCUUACUGACUGAAGACUGAUGCUGCCCGAUGGCCUUGGAAGCCUCCUGGACCAUCACAGACACUUUGGGUAACUCGUACAGUGGAGGGAUACAAUUGGACACUGGUUAUUUUACCAAGGCUUUGAUUGGAAUGGCAUACUUUCAGAUAUAAAUCAACUGCUUUAAGGAAUCAAAGUUGACUUAUAGAGCCAUAAAAGCCCCUUGGGAAAGCUGGCCUCAUGCCUUGUCCACACAGUUCCUGUACAGUUUCCUGACCUGUGGUAAGUAAAGCAUGUCACUUUCUGGGCCAGGUGUGGUGCCUUAUGCCUGUAAUCCGAGCAC
This is a non-coding RNA of Chlorocebus sabaeus (green monkey), 637 nucleotides long. The record is from RefSeq and is a predicted model, not a curated record. Lineage: Eukaryota; Metazoa; Chordata; Mammalia; Primates; Cercopithecidae.